RNAcentral lists this transfer RNA (85 nucleotides) under Candidatus Zixiibacteriota bacterium. RNAcentral's name for it is "tRNA-Ser". It matches the Rfam family "tRNA". Rfam says of the family: Transfer RNA (tRNA) molecules are approximately 80 nucleotides in length. The record is from RNAcentral. Lineage: Bacteria; Pseudomonadati; Candidatus Zixiibacteriota.
GGAGAGGUGCCAGAGUGGUUGAUCGGGGCGGUCUCGAAAACCGUUGUCCCUUACGGGACCCCGGGUUCGAAUCCCGGCCUCUCCG